CCUACGGGUGGCAGCAGUGAGGAAUAUUAGUCAAUGGACGAGAGUCUGAACCAACCAAGUAGCGUGAAGGAUGACUGCCCUAUGGGUUGUAAACUUCUUUUAUAUGGGAAUAAAAUGUUCCACGUGUGGGAUUUUGUAUGUACCAUAUGAAUAAGGAUCGGCUAACUCCGUGCCAGCAGCCGCGGUAAUACGGGGGAUCCGAGCGUUAUCCGGAUUUAUUGGGUUUAAAGGGAGCGUAGGUGGGUUGUUAAGUCAGUUGUGAAAGUUUGCGGCUCAACCGUAAAAUUGCAGUUGAAACUGGCAGUCUUGAGUACAGUAGAGGUGGGCGGAAUGCGUGGUGUAGCGGUGAAAUGCUUAGAUAUCACGAAGAACUCCGAUUGCGAAGGCAGUUCACUGGACUGCAACUGACACUGAGGCUCGAAAGUGUGGGUAUCAAACAGGAUUAGAUACCCCAGUAGUC
This 460-nucleotide ribosomal RNA is filed under the name uncultured bacterium. Its description in RNAcentral is "partial 16S ribosomal RNA". It matches the Rfam family "Bacterial small subunit ribosomal RNA", at positions 338 to 795 of the family's 1533-position model. The record is from RNAcentral.